RNAcentral lists this ribosomal RNA (1574 nucleotides) under Bacillus cereus. RNAcentral describes it as "bacterial SSU rRNA". It matches the Rfam family "Bacterial small subunit ribosomal RNA". The record is from RNAcentral. Lineage: Bacteria; Bacillati; Bacillota; Bacilli; Caryophanales; Bacillaceae.
AAACGGCCCGGCGGCCGCUAUAAUGCAGUCGAGCGAUGGAUUAAGAGCUUGCUCUUAUGAAGUUAGCGGCGGACGGGUGAGUAACACGUGGGUAACCUGCCCAUAAGACUGGGAUAACUCCGGGAAACCGGGGCUAAUACCGGAUAACAUUUUGAACUGCAUGGUUCGAAAUUGAAAGGCGGCUUCGGCUGUCACUUAUGGAUGGACCCGCGUCGCAUUAGCUAGUUGGUGAGGUAACGGCUCACCAAGGCAACGAUGCGUAGCCGACCUGAGAGGGUGAUCGGCCACACUGGGACUGAGACACGGCCCAGACUCCUACGGGAGGCAGCAGUAGGGAAUCUUCCGCAAUGGACGAAAGUCUGACGGAGCAACGCCGCGUGAGUGAUGAAGGCUUUCGGGUCGUAAAACUCUGUUGUUAGGGAAGCGCACUGAGAGGGAUAGCCCACUGACUUGAACGUCAGUCUACGAGUCACGGAUGGAUUCGCAUGACGAAGUCAGCGGACACGUCGCUGGUGAGAGCUUCGGUCGUAACUCGUGUAAGAGAACAGGCUAGUGAUUAGCUGCACUGACGGUACUACAGAAAGGCACGCUACUACGUGCAGCAGCGCGUAUACGUAGUGGCAGCGUAUCCGAUAUGGCGUAAGCGCGCGCAGUGUUUCUAAGUCUGAUGUGAAAGCCCACGGCUCACCCGUGAGGUCAUUGGAACUGGGAGACUUGAGUGCAGAAGAGAAAGUGAAUUCCAUGUGUAGCGGUGAAAUGCGUAGAGAUAUGGAGGAACACCAGUGGGCGAAGGCGACUUCUGGUCUGUAACUGACACUGAGGCGCGAAAGCGUGGGGAGCAAACAGGAUUAGAUACCCUGGUAGUCCACGCCGUAAACGAUGAGUGCUAAGUGUUAGAGGGUUUCCGCCCUUUAGUGCUGAAGUUAACGCAUUAAGCACUCCGCCUGGGGAGUACGGCCGCCAGGCUGAAACUCAAAGGAAUUGACGGGGGCCCGCACAAGCGGUGGAGCAUGUGGUUUAAUUUGAAGCAACGCGAAGAACCUUACCAGGUCUUGACAUCCUUUGACAACCCUAGAGAUAGGGCUUUUCCUUUGGGAGCAGAGUGACAGGUGGUGCAUGGUUGUUGUCAGCUUGUGUCGUGAGAUGUUGGGUUAAGUCCCGCAACGAGCGCAACCCUUGAUUUUAGUUGCCAUCAUUUAGUUGGGCACUUUAAGGUGACUGCCGGUGACAAACCGGAGGAAGGUGGGGAUGACGUCAAAUCAUCAUGCCCCUUAUGACCUGGGGUACACACGUGGUACAAUGGACGGUACAAAGAGCUGCAAGACCGCGAGGUGGAGCUAAUUUCAUAAAACCGUUUUCAGUUUGGAUUGUAGGGUGCAACUUGCCUACAUGAAGCUGGAAUCGGUAGUAAUCGCGGAUCAGCAUGCCGCGGUGAAUACGUUCCCGGGCCUUGUACACCCCGCCCGUCACACCCCGAGAGUUUGUAACACCCGAAGUCGGUGGGGUAACCUUUUUGGAGCCAGCCGCCUAAGGUGGGACAGAUGAUUGGGGGAAGUCGAACAAUGAGCUUAGGG